Molecule: long non-coding RNA, 797 nt
Filed under: Vigna radiata
Lineage: Eukaryota; Viridiplantae; Streptophyta; Magnoliopsida; Fabales; Fabaceae
Description: long non-coding RNA (VRAD_LNC015518)
Source: RNAcentral
GGUAAUUACUGAAGGAAAAAAUCCGUCGGUAAAUACUGCGAUCAGGUUCAUCAUCUUCCUCUCCCCCCUUCUUCUUUCCUUCAUUUUUUUCCAGUCCAAAAAAAUGAAGACAUUACAACCAAAUUUCAUAUAGAUUCUAACAAUUUUAUAAGCUGCAUGAAAAUUUAUCAUACUGUUUUUAUUCAUUAUUCCACUUUGCUUUGUUUUAUAAUUUUAUUUUCACCUAAUUACCAUUACCAUUACAACAAUGUCAUACAAAAAAAAAGAGAGAGGAAACGAGAAGUCGGGUUUGGAUGCAUUAUGUGUGGCACAACAACAAUGGAAGAAUAGAAGCAUCAAUGGAGAAGACGGAGGCAUGAUUCAACGGAGAAGAUGACGGCGACGGCAUGGCUGGACGAAGAUGGUGGCUGCGACAUAACACAAUCGAGACGGUGUGAGAGAAAUGGAGAAGUGGGGAAAGAGAAGAAAAAGUGGGAAGUGGGAAAGAAGAGUCUACAAUGAAAGAGAAAGUGGUAGAAAAUUUUUUAUAAGGUGUGAUUCACAGCAAGAGAGAAAGGCUAGGUGGGAAAACUCCCACUAUUUUUACGUUGCAUUACCGACGGAUUUACCGACGACCUUUUGUCUUUGGUUAGUGACAUGCACAUUCUGAGGAAUUUACCGAUGGCCUUUUUCCUUGGGUAAGUGACAUGCACAUUACCGAUGGCCUUUUCCUUUGGUAAGUGAUGCACAUUACCGACGAAUUUACCGAUGGCCUUUUUCCUUCGGUAAAAAAACUCAAAAUCCAUCGAUAAAUCUGU